GUCAUAUCUCCAAUGACACUGUACACGUCACUACACUCAAUUGGGAAAAUGACAAUGGGAGCAUAGGGGUGCAGUAUAACUACAUGGACUGCUCCACUGCAGCAUGAGAGACUGGGAGGUAACCUGAUCCAGUCUCUGGUCUUCUUGCACUGCCAAGCAGAUAUUACUCUGUCUACAGUUGACGGCCAGCCCAUCCCCACCUGGCUGAAUCUACACUACUCGUUACGGUUAUCUCAGCGGGCAGCGGAGCGGGGACGUCAGCUGACAGCCAUUUCCCAUGAUGCCCCAGGAGGAGCCGUCAAGCUGUCCAUCCAACUGUCAGGUGACCAGUGGUUCCCAUGGUUCCCCCCUCUGCCACUCCAUUGAGCUGAAAGGCUCUAUUAUCUGUGCGUGUUGGAGAGGGACUGCUCAGGCUUUGAUAAGCUAUCACUGGUCCCAGAAACUCUGAACAGUGUCUGAACCCCAAACACAUUUUCAACACAGGCUUUGACUAACGCUUUGUGUUGGAGAAUGGAACCUCAUGCAUGUACAUGAGGUUCUGCUGCUCCAGUUUUAACUGUUCUGCCUGCGGCUAUGGAACCCUGACCUGUUCACCGGACGUGCUUGUUGCACCCUCGACAACUACUAUGAUUAUUAUUAUUUGACCAUGCUGGUCAUUUAUGAACAUUUUAACAUAUUGACCAUGUUCUGUUAUAAUAUCCACCCUGCACAGCCAGAAGAGGACUGGCCACCCCUCAUAGCCUGGUUCCUCUCUAGGUUUCUUCCUAGGUCUUUGGCCUUUCUAGGGAGUUUUUCCUAGGGAGUUUUUCCUAGCCACCGUGCUUCUUUCACAUGCAUUGCUUGCUGUUUGGGGGUUUAGGCUGGGUUUCUGUACAGCACUUUGAGAUAUCAG
RNAcentral lists this long non-coding RNA (892 nucleotides) under Salmo salar (Atlantic salmon). Its description in RNAcentral is "lncRNA (ENSSSAG00000105678.1, ENSSSAG00020084650.1)". The record is from RNAcentral. Lineage: Eukaryota; Metazoa; Chordata; Actinopteri; Salmoniformes; Salmonidae.